GUACAUAACUGUACGGACGACGGACGACGGAACGUAACAGAUUUACUCGGUAAUGACGUUAGGAAAGCGAGCGGCGGAUGGGUGAGUAACACGUGGGGAACCUGCCCCAUAGUCUGGGAUACCACUUGGAAACAGGUGCUAAUACCGGAUAAGAAAGCAGAUCGCAUGAUCAGCUUUUAAAAGGCGGCGUAAGCUGUCGCUAUGGGAUGGCCCCGCGGUGCAUUAGCUAGUUGGUAAGGUAAAGGCUUACCAAGGCGAUGAUGCAUAGCCGAGUUGAGAGACUGAUCGGCCACAUUGGGACUGAGACACGGCCCAAACUCCUACGGGAGGCAGCAGUAGGGAAUCUUCCACAAUGGACGCAAGUCUGAUGGAGCAACGCCGCGUGAGUGAAGAAGGUUUUCGGAUCGUAAAGCUCUGUUGUUGGUGAAGAAGGAUAGAGGUAGUAACUGGCCUUUAUUUGACGGUAAUCAACCAGAAAGUCACGGCUAACUACGUGCC
Molecule: ribosomal RNA, 498 nt
Filed under: uncultured bacterium
Lineage: Bacteria
Description: bacterial SSU rRNA
Rfam family: Bacterial small subunit ribosomal RNA
Source: RNAcentral